CCUGGUUGAUCCUGCCAGUAGUCAUAUGCUUGUCUCAAAGAUUAAGCCAUGCAUGUGUAAGCACACACUGUUUUAAAAGUGAAGCCGCGAAUGGCUCAUUACAACAGCCACAGUUUAUUAGAACUUACAAUCAUGGAUAACUGUGGUAAUUCUAGAGCUAAUACACGCACAAAAACUUCAACUGAAUUGGUUGAAGUGCUUUUAUUAGAACAAAAACCGAACGGCGUUUGGCGAAUGUUGAACGUCGAAACUGUUUGGUGAAUCUGAAUAACUAUUUCUGAUCGCAUGGUCUAGCACCGGCGACAUCACUUUCAAGUGUCUGCCUUAUCAACCUUCGAUGGUAGUCUAUGCGACUACCAUGGUGAUAACGGGUAACGGAGAAUCAGGGUUCGACUCCGGAGAGGGAGCCUGAGAAACGGCUACCACAUCCAAGGAAGGCAGCAGGCGCGCAAAUUACCCACUCCCAGCUUGGGGAGGUAGUGACGAAAAAUAACGAGACGAUUCUCGUUUGAGAAACGUUAUCGAAAUGAGUACGCUUUACACACGCUAACGAGUAGCAAUUGGAGGGCAAGUCUGGUGCCAGCAGCCGCGGUAAUUCCAGCUCCAAUAGCGUAUAUUAAAGUUGCUGCGGUUAAAACGCUCGUAGUUGAAUUGUGGUCUUAGACAACAGUCCCCUACAUAGGUGUGGCACGGUUGCUCGAGAUCUUCAUUCGUGGUUGCUGUUGUUGCUCUUCAUUGAGUGUCAAUGGUGCCUCGAGAUUUUACUUUGAAAAAAUUAGAGUGCUCAAAGCAGGUUGUGAUGCCUGAAUAAUGGUGCAUGGAAUAAUAGAAUACGAUCUCGGUUCUAUUUUGUUGGUUUUCGAACCGGAGAUAAUGAUUGAAAGGAACAGACGGGGGCAUUCGUAUUGCUGCGUUAGAGGUGAAAUUCUUGGAUCGCAGCAAGAUGAACAAUUGCGAAAGCAUUUGCCAAGAAUGUUUUCAUUAAUCAAGAACGAAAGUUAGAGGUUCGAAGGCGAUCAGAUACCGCCCUAGUUCUAACGGUAAACUAUGCCAACCAGCGAUUCGCCGAAGUUCAUUUAAGACUCGGCGAGCAGCUUCCGGGAAACCAAAGUGUUUCGGUUCCGGGGGAAGUAUGGUUGCAAAGCUGAAACUUAAAGGAAUUGACGGAAGGGCACCACCAGGAGUGGAGCCUGCGGCUUAAUUUGACUCAACACGGGAAAACUCACCCGGCCCGGACACUGGAAGGAUUGACAGAUUGACAGCUCUUUCUUGAUUCAGUGGGUAGUGGUGCAUGGCCGUUCUUAGUUGGUGGAGCGAUUUGUCUGGUUAAUUCCGAUAACGAACGAGACUCUACCCUAUUAAAUAGUGACAGUAUUGUAUUUUUUGUGCUGAUCACUUCUUAGAGGGACUGGCAAAUUGAAAGCUGCACGAAAAAGAGCAAUAACAGGUCUGUGAUGCCCUUCGAUGUCCGGGGCUGCACGCGCGCUACAAUGAAAGCGUCAACGUGAGUUACGUCCUUACCUGAAAAGGUUUGGCAAUCGAAUGAAACGUUUUCUUGAAUGGAAUAGGGAAUUGCAAUUGUUUCCCUUGAACGAGGAAUUCCCAGUAAGCGUGAGUCAUUAGCUCGCGUUGAUUACGUCCCUGCCCUUUGUACACACCGCCCGUCGCUACUACCGAUUGGAUGAUUUAGUGAGGUGUUUUGACUGGCGCCAGUAGUCGGAUGUAUUCGGCUUCGCGCCGGGAAAUUUCCCAAACCAAAUCAUCUAGAGGAAGUAAAAGUCGUAACAAGGUUUCCGUAGGUGAACCUGCGGAAG
This 1814-nucleotide ribosomal RNA is filed under the name Trichinella murrelli. RNAcentral's name for it is "SSU rRNA". It matches the Rfam family "Eukaryotic small subunit ribosomal RNA". The record is from RNAcentral. Lineage: Eukaryota; Metazoa; Nematoda; Enoplea; Trichinellida; Trichinellidae.